Molecule: transfer RNA, 73 nt
Filed under: Candidatus Gastranaerophilus sp. (ex Termes propinquus)
Lineage: Bacteria; Bacillati; Candidatus Melainabacteria; Candidatus Gastranaerophilales; Candidatus Gastranaerophilaceae
Rfam family: tRNA
About the family: Transfer RNA (tRNA) molecules are approximately 80 nucleotides in length. Their secondary structure includes four short double-helical elements and three loops (D, anti-codon, and T loops).
Source: Rfam by way of RNAcentral
GGGCGAUUAGCUCAGUUGGUAGAGCACUUGCUCGACACGCAAGGGGUCAUUGGUUCGAGUCCGAUAUCGCCCA